CCUGCCGCGCCAACCCCUCUGCCAGGCUCCUUGCUGGAGCCCAGGGAAGAGGCCCUUGCUCCCGCCCUUAGGAGAAGGUUGAAUCUUUCCCUUUUCCCCUCUUCAGGAGCCCCGAAAGCCCCUUGCUCCCUCUGCAGCCGCGGGUGAGCCCCUUGCCUGCAGGGAAAGUGCAAAGUCAAACUCCCUGGUUCAGCCAGGGCCCUCCCCCAGUGCAGUAACGCCUAAAUCUUCUAAUCUAGCGCACUUUCUAGCUGGGGCUAUUAAACCCCUUCACAAAGGGGAGUAAACAUCAUUGGCUCCAUUUUACAACUGAGGAAACUGAGGCACGGGAAAGUGCAAUGACUUUCCUGAACUUGUGUGUCGGGUCAGUGGUGGAGCCAGGAUUAGCACACAAGUCUCCUGGUUCCAGUCCAGUGCUCUUUGAAGUAGGUCACACAGGACAGGCUGAAAUGCCAGUGUGAUAUAUCUACUGUUCAUGCCCAGACUGCUGUGGGGUGGAGGAGGACAGAUUUGUGCUCACUCUUUAGGGAGCCCCUGACAAAUCUGGGUACCUUCUCCUUUACCACAGUCCUAAAUGUGGCACCUUUCCCAUUCCCACUCCUCUUGCUCACAGAAAUAGAGCUGGGGGGGAAGAACCCACCGAUUUUUGGCUGGGGGGAAGUUUUUUGUUGUAACUUCAUUUACAUCAAAAUGAUACAUUUGGUCAAAGCAGGAAGCAUUACUUAAUGUCUGGUCCAUAUACACAGACCAUGGCAGGACACCUAACAGGAAUGGCCAUGCAGAUGGUGGUAAGGACAAGGGGUGGAUUCUCGCAACUUACAAGCUCAGACAAGAAGAAGAUGCAAUGCAGGGAGUUCCUGAUUUGUUUAAACCAGCGCUGCUGCUUUAUAAGCUUCAAGUGUUCAUGUUCUGUCAGAGACUUCCCAUAGAAAGCAGCUCUCAGCAGCCAGGAGGGUCCACUGCCAAUCACCAACUGCCUUGGAACCUUCUGGCUGCACUAUUCCAUCCCUUCCUGAUUAAAUAGAUCCCUGAUGCCCAGAGAAAGAGAAGUUACUUACAUUGUAGCAUCUAAAGUUCUCUGAGAUGUGCGGUCGCUGUCUAUAUUCCACUGGUGGAUGUGCAUGUGCUCUAGGAACCUGAGACUGGAAGAUUCUUACGUAGUAGUGUCUAUUAAUCUGCACCUACACCCUUCUCAUGUUGCGAACCAAGAGUAUAAGGGGCAACAUGGACAGACCGCUUCUCCAAUUCCUUCACCACCACGGACCAAGGCAGAUGAGAAGGAGGACAGGUAGCGGAAUACAGAUAAGGACCACACACCUCAAAUUACUUCAGUUACUAUAAGGUUUGAUGUCCAUCCGAAUACCAACUGUGAAAUGGAGAGUGUGGGGGAUGUUGGACCUUGCCAUGUUCUGGGUCAAGGACUCUGGAAAGAACUGGAUGCUGACGGAUGGACAGAUUGACAGGUGAAAAAGGCUGGAAAAUGGGAGUCACGAGAAUGAUUAUUGCUGUAUCCUGUUGGAUCUUCUAUACAACUUGAGGAAUGAGUGGAAAGGCAUCCAUGAGAUUAGCAGGGCAGUGCCCCAUAAGCCCUGACCCAGAGUCCCUCUGGAGCAGUACAUUUUGCAUUUCCUGAUCGCUUGGGAUGCAAAGAGAGCCUAAUACAGGGCUCUCCACUAAAUUGUGUAUCAUGGUCAGUCAAGAAAUGUCCAAUGAGGCUGUCUGCUGAGAACUGUGUUUUCCCAGAAGUGAACUGCUGAUAGGGUAGUCUCAUGUUGAAUGCCCCAGGUUCACAGACUGGCUGCUUCUAUGUAGAGGGGAGUGGAUCUUGCCCCUUCCUGCUGCUUGAUGUAGAACACUGUGGUUCUGUUAACCAGCAUCACUAGAAUAUGAUGGGAUCAUAUAACUGGGAGGCGUUGCCAAUUCGGAGGAGGAUAGGGAUAUUCUGCAGGGAGACUUGAAUGAGCUUGUGAAUUGGAGUAUCAGAAAUAGGAUGAAAUUUAAUAGUGAAAAGUGUAAGGUGAUGCAUUUAGGGAUGACUAACAACAAUUUUAGUUACAAGCUGGGGACUCAUUGGUUAGAAGUAACGGAAGAGGAGAAGGACCUAGGGGUCCUUGUAGACCGCAGGAUGACUAUGAGUCGACAAUGUGACGUGGCGGUGAAAAAAGCCAAUGCGGUCUUGGGAUGCAUUAGGCGAGGUAUAUCUAGUAGGGAUAAGGAGGUGCUGCUUCCGUUGUAUAAGGCGCUGGUGAGACCUCAUUUGGAGUACUGUGUGCAGUUCUGGUCUCCCAUGUUUAAAAAAGAUGAACUCAAAUUGGAACGGGUGCAGAGAAGGGCCACUAGGAUGAUCAGAGGAAUGGAAAACCUGUCGUAUGAAAGGAGACUAGAGGAGCUCGGGUUGUUUAGUCUGACAAAGCGAAGGCUGAGGGGGGAUAUGAUUGCUCUCUUUAAAUAUAUCAGAGGGAUAAAUACAAGGGAGGGAGAGGAAUUAUUCCAGCUUAGUACUAAUGUGGACACGAGAACGAAUGGAUAUAAACUGGCCGUGGGGAAGUUUAGGCUUGAAAUUAGACGAAGGUUUCUGACCGUCAGAGGGGUGAAAUAUUGGAACGGCCUUCCGAGGGAAACGGUGGGGGCGAGGGACCCAUCUGGUUUUAAGAUUAAGUUAGAUAAGUUUAUGGAGGGAAUGGUUUAAUGGUAAAACAUAUUAGCCAAGGAAUACCGAGCAAUGGCAGGUAAAUAGUAUAAUGGCUAACAAGGGUCAGGCUGGAGACUCUUGCCUACAUGCUCGGGGUCUUACUGAUCGCCAUAUUUGGGGUCGGGAAGGAAUUUUCCUCCAGGGUAGAUUGGCUGAGGUCCUGGAGGUUUUUCGCCUUCCUCCGCAGCAUGGGGCAGGGAUCGCUAGCAGGAGGGUUCUCUGCCAAUUGAAGUCACUAAAACACAGGAUUUGGGGACUUCAUCAGCAGAGUCAAGGGAAGGGUAGGGACGGUUUUGUGGCCUGCAGCAUGCAGGGGGUCAGACCAGAUGAUCAUAAUGGUCCCAUCUGACCUUAAAGUCUAUGAACUGGUAAAAAAGCUUUGCAGGCUUCCUGGACAGCUCUCCCUUCUAGUAGGUUUAUAUGCAUUCUAGCCUCCUGAGAAGUCCAUAUGCUUUGUGCUGUAUCCAGGUGGGCACCCUAAAAAGUAGGAAUUCAUCUGUGUUCAGCAUUCUCUUUAGUGUGGGAGGGAGGAAGGGGAUCCCCACCACACACACACACAUAUCGUUGUUCACCUACCACUUUAGAGAAUCCUUCAGUCUGGGGGGGAUCAUUACUACUGUGUCCACGAUGUGUUUUCUUGGCACACAAUCUGUUUGAAGCCAAGUUUAUAGACAUCAGAGAUGAAACCUUGCAAAAGAUUUCACCUGGGUGCAUGAGACUAUGUGACCCAAGACGAUAAAGCAGAAACAAACUGAUGUCUGUAGACUCUUCUCGGUUGAUUAAAUUGUUCAUUGACUGGAAUCUGUCUAAGGGAAGAUAAGCUUUUGCCCUGAUAGAGUCCAGAGUUGCUCCGAUGAAUUCUAUAGUUUGUGUUGCAGACAAGAUAGACUUUUCUAAAUUCAUACAGUUCCCCAGUGAUGCCAGAAGACUCAGCAGAGAUUAAGUUGAUGUCAGAACUUUCGACCAGAACUUGCCUAUCAAGGAUCAAUUGUCUACAUAAGGAAAGACUAUCGAGCUGUUGUAACGGACACAUGCUGCUUCUACUGAGAAUACUUUUGUAAACAUUUGGGACUGCUUGUGAUAUUUCCACCUCAAUGCUGAUAUAUAUACCCAAGGAACAGGAGGGUUGCUGUUGAGUCUUUUAUGCUGUGUCUCCACUACUAGCUACAGGUUUCAGGUUCAGGCAGGUACAUAGUCAAUUAAGCCAUGUCUCCGCUACCCAUGCUACCAUCCCCACACUACUCGUGCUAGUUCGAUGUCAGGCACAUGGAAUGCAUGCGUAAGACACAUAAGGACCAGCACUAGAAGAACCUACUGAUCCCACUGUUAAAGUAAUUUCACCAAAACAUUCACAGGAGAGAGCAAAGCAAUAUUUUUCCCACAUGACAAUAGCAGCACUUUCUCUUGCUCUCACAGUUCCUGACACAAUCACAGGAAUGCACACAGGAGGGCAUUUUACCCCUCAUACCACAGUUACCUUGAAAAUAUCAGUGGCUGGCUGCAGGACUAGCCAACUGCUGCAAAUUGGAUUCUUGACUCUGGUGGUAACACUCAGCCCACACAGGGUGAAGAGGCAGUAAGAAGGAGCUACUGUUCCUCCAAAUAACAGCCAACCCCAAGGUAAAAUCUUGGAUUAGAGCAAGUAACUGAGUUUUACAUACUUAUGUUCCCUUUUUUCAUUUAAUGUAACCUGCAAUCUAUACACGUAGCCAGUCUAUGCAAACAUGCGUAUCCUUUUACUCUUGUCUUCUCCCCACAACACACUCCAUUUUAUUUGCAACACCCUCAUGCAUAUUUAUUUCUCAGAAAGGUACACCUGUUGUUGAAAAUGAAGAACUUGUAAGCUGUAAAUAAAAAACACAAGAAUGCAAAGCCAAGCUCCUACAUAUUAACUACAUAGGUUUUUGAAUCUGCCCUUAAAUACUGACACAUUUUUACUAAUUUACUUACUUUUUAAGCACCUGAUUUAUUAAAACUUUUUGACCGACUCAGUGUGAAUGUGCUAAAGCUUGGUUGAAGCUGAAUUGUGCAGAUCUUCUAAAAAUUUACAGUAUUCUGAGUUCAGCUGUCCUGAGUUCAGUGAUUUUUUUUUUUUUUUUUUUAAAUCUCAGUUUUCCACCAUUUUGAUGCCACACACUGUGAUAUGACCUCCUCAUAAACAGAUUUGGAGUCAAAAUCUGGAUUUUAAAUACUAAAAGAGAAGGAAGGAACUCAGGAUUAUAAAGCUCUGGGCUUACCUUUGAAUUUUAGAUCAGUCAUUUUGGCUAAGUAAUGGAAAGUUUCCAAAGCUUCUCUGCAUUGUUUUUCAAUGUUGUCCUUAUGUUGUUCCAGAUUUUUGUUAAUUAGAUCAUGCCAGAUUUCCACUCAAACUACAACAGUAUAAUCAUGAGUAAAUAAUCUGUCAAAUCCCUCUGAAACCUCCUUCAAUUGUUUUUUUUUUAAACAUAAUGCCUCUCUGUAGAGUCCUUUAUUGUGUAAAGUAUGUGCUGUGUUAUGACUAAAGGCCGCCUUGUGUACAGUGCAAAUUUCAUCAUAUUUGGGACAGCUGAACAUAAAUUGAAGACACAGUCCUCCUGAGAGUUCUCUUGAGUGUCAUUGGGAAACUGAAGCAUCAAGCUCAGUGCUCUUCUCAAGGCUUAUCUGUUUGGGCUGUCCCUAAGAGAAGUAGGUUGAGAGACUUGGGGCUGAUCCACACUAACCCCCCACUUCGAACUAAGAUACGCAACUUCAGCUACGUUAUUCACGUAGCUGAAGUCGAACUAUCUUAGUUCGAAUUUACCGCAGGUUCACACACGGCAGGCAGGCUCCCCCGUCGACUCCGCGUACUCCACUCGCCGAGCAGGAAUACCAGCGUCGACGGCGAGCGCUUCCGGGAUCGAUUUAUUGCGUCUAGACAAGACGCAAUAAAUCGAUCCCAGAAGAUCGAUUGCUUACCCCCGGACCUGGAGGUAAGUAUAAACGUACCCUUGGAGUGAUUGUUACAGGGGAUGAUUUAUGGUGGGAUUUUAAUGAAUUGUUAUAGUGGCUUACUGUGUGAUUACAUAGGCUAAAGUAUUUUGUGUCUAGGAUAUGUGUCCUCUUGUGCUUUCUGAAUUGUUACAGGUAUUUAGAGUUGUGGUAGAUGCCUUAAUAUAUUUAAAGAAAUUCCCAUGAACAAGACUGUGAGACUUUCAGAAGUGCUUAGCGCUGGCCUAACUCUGCCUUAAAGUAUGGAAAGUCUGACUUAAAGUAUGGAAAGUUAAUUUGCAAUGGUGUGCACUUUGAAUUAAGUUUUAUAAAGGCCUAAUUCCUACUGAAAUUUAACUUCAAAGGGAGCCGAGUUGGGCCAACGGUAAUAACUUUUGAAAAUCCCUCCUAAACAAAUAAAUAGAAAAGCAGGACAUUUUAAAGUAAGAUUGCACUUCCAAAGUAAACCACAAUAAUUGUUAGAUAACUACAAUCUUAAGUCUGCACCACAGAGACAACUAAAAUCAGUCAUGCUCAAAAUUUACAGAAAUAGCAUUCCAUUACAUUGAACAGCCACCAGUAAGUGCAAGUAAAGUGGGCAUAAUGUUGCAUUAUGAGUUGGGCCCUACUAAACGUAUUUCAAAGUGCACUCCAUUGCAGAUUCAUUUUCCAUACACAUCCAGAAUUCUAGGUGCAUACAUUCUGUUGCUAUGCACGUAGGGAAAACUACUUUCAAACUCAAAGUACUGUGCAUUCGUAAUUAAGAAGUUACAUAAUUUAUUUUCUUAAGGUAUCUUAGCAUUAAAGUUAUUUGGAAAAUACAAGGCUGCAUACCAUUACAGCAGUUCCAUUACUGUAGUGUCUACACUGGAGACACUUGCUAGGAAGGUUGGUAAAUAAACAGUAUAUCAGAAAAUAACCUUGAAGAUCUCACAGGGUGGUGUUUUUCUAUUGGAAAGGAAAACAUACUGGGAAUUACUGAUGUUUCCUUGUUUUCAAAAACAGUAUUAUGGAAAGACAACACAAUUGUAGUCUAUAAUGUUUUUGUCAUAGUUGUCUAUCAAGCAACAGAAAGCAUGCAGAAAAUGAGAGGAGCUUGAAUGAAGUGUUAAGCAUUGAUGUCAAAGAUUUCUUUUGUAUUACAAAAACAAUCACUACUAAAAUAACUUCCUCAGAUGUGUAUUUCUUAGACAUUUGCCUUUUCAAUAUCCCUAUUCUCUUAAUUGUUGAGGACCAGAGUUGUUGAAAAUGCCUGGUGGGACAUUUACAUUUCAAACAGACGAUUGGCACCUUGCCAAAUGUUACAGCAUAUUUCACACUAAAAUAUUGUAGAAAUUUUAUUUCUAUGCAUCUGUAUCUUGUGUUAAUAUCACAGCAGUGAGUACUGACUUCGCAUGUUUUGUUUUUUACUGUGUUUUAAAAUUGAUUUUUAUGUGAUUUGAGCACACAUGCAUUGGGGCUGUUGAAAAUUACAGGCCACUCACAGUGACCCAGAAUUAUUUAGAGCUGCUCAAAUGCUUUGACUCGACUGAUGAUCUAAUUUUGUAACUUGCUACUUUAAACUUUUUUGUUUAAAGCCUUUUUGUGGUAUCUAUGUAUCUAGAUUUUUAGGAUCCAGAGCCCAUUGAGGUCAGUGAACCCUGCAUCAGACCCUUAAUCUAUGUCUGUUGCCCAGCUGUACAUGGAGAUAACACUUACCUACCUUACACUGGUGUUGUGAAGCUAAACCCAUAAAUAUUUGUGAGGCAUUCUGAUACUAUGGUAAUGAGGCCUAUAAAGAGCAGAUAGAAAGACUUCCUAAGUAUUACCAUUCCUUUUUAUUAUUUUUACUCUGCUAAACAAUGCAGACAAAAAUGUUUUAGUAAAAAAUAAAUGGAGAUGACAAAACAUUGUCUCUCUCACCAACAGAAGUUGGUCGAAUAAAAGAUAUUACCUUA
Malaclemys terrapin pileata is the source of this 7575-nucleotide long non-coding RNA. RefSeq lists it as uncharacterized. The transcript is spliced from 2 exons. The record is from RefSeq and is a predicted model, not a curated record. Lineage: Eukaryota; Metazoa; Chordata; Testudines; Emydidae.